CCUGGCGGCCUUAGCGCGGUGGUCCCACCUGACCCCAUGCCGAACUCAGAAGUGAAACGCCGUAGCGCCGAUGGUAGUGUGGUGUCUCCCCAUGCGAGAGUAGGGAACUGCCAGGC
RNAcentral lists this ribosomal RNA (116 nucleotides) under Escherichia coli. Lineage: Bacteria; Pseudomonadati; Pseudomonadota; Gammaproteobacteria; Enterobacterales; Enterobacteriaceae. The record is from RNAcentral.